UACGUAGGGGGCUAGCGUUAUCCGGAAUCAUUGGGCGUAAAGCGCGUGUAGGCGGUCCGGUAAGUCCGCUGUGAAAGUCGGGGGCUCAACCCUCGGAUGCCGGUGGAUACUGUCGGGCUUGAGUACGGAAGAGGCGAGUGGAAUUCCUGGUGUAGCGGUGAAAUGCGCAGAUAUCAGGAGGAACACCAAUUGCGAAGGCAGCGCGCUGGGACGUUACUGACGCUGAGACGCGAAAGCGUGGGGAGCAAACAGG
RNAcentral lists this ribosomal RNA (253 nucleotides) under uncultured bacterium. RNAcentral's name for it is "partial 16S ribosomal RNA". It matches the Rfam family "Bacterial small subunit ribosomal RNA", at positions 524 to 776 of the family's 1533-position model. The record is from RNAcentral.